This 588-nucleotide ribosomal RNA is filed under the name uncultured bacterium. RNAcentral describes it as "bacterial SSU rRNA". It matches the Rfam family "Bacterial small subunit ribosomal RNA", at positions 338 to 916 of the family's 1533-position model. The record is from RNAcentral.
CCUACGGGAGGCAGCAGUGGGGAAUAUUGGACAAUGGGCGCAAGCCUGAUCCAGCAAUGCCGCGUGUGUGAAGAAGGCCUUCGGGUUGUAAAGCACUUUAGGCAGGGAAGAAAAAAAUCGGCGAUAACAUCGCCGAUCUUGACGGUACCUGAGGAAUAAGCACCGGCUAACUCUGUGCCAGCAGCCGCGGUAAUACAGAGGGUGCAAGCGUUAAUCGGAUUUACUGGGCGUAAAGCGUGUGUAGGUGGUUAGAAAAGUCGACUGUGAAAUCCCUGGGCUCAACCCGGGAACUGCUUUCGAGACUGUUUGACUAGAAUUCGGUAGAGGGAGGCGGAACUCCAGGUGUAGCGGUGAAAUGCGUAGAUAUCUGGAAGAACACCAAUGGCGAAGGCAACCUCCUGGGCCUGAAUUGACACUGAGACACGAAAGCGUGGGGAUCAAACAGGAUUAGAUACCCUGGUAGUCCACGCCGUAAACGAUGAGAACUUGACGUCGGUUUGCUCUGCGAAUCGGUGUCGUAGCUAACGCGAUAAGUUCUCCGCCUGGGGAGUACGGCCGCGAAGGUUGAAACUCAAAUUGAAUUGACGG